This 4067-nucleotide long non-coding RNA is filed under the name Homo sapiens (human). RNAcentral describes it as "long non-coding RNA NONHSAT175205.1". Lineage: Eukaryota; Metazoa; Chordata; Mammalia; Primates; Hominidae. The record is from RNAcentral.
GUUCUUGUUGCUUUGGAGACCACAGGAGAGGCGGUGGUGAUGGCCCAUCGCUUCAGCCCUGUGGCAUCCCCACAGGAUCCAUGGGCAUCAAGGAAUUUCCCUGUGCUCCUCUGAAGAUAAACCGCUGCCUGCACCAGCCUAGCAGCUUCCAGAAGCUGUGGAUGAGAAGCAAUCUCCCACCAAAAGCCAGAGCUCACCUGCAAAGCUUCAAUCCCAAGCAGAAGGAAGCCUCCGUUUUUUCCCCCCAGAUGAGCCUGAAUUCACCUCCAGAAAGUCUCAAUGCAUCACACCAAGGGUCACACACCUGCUCAUGGUUCUUCUUGAGGCAAAGCAGCUCCUCCUUCAGGGACUCCAGCUGGGCCUCCAGGUCACACUUGGCGAGGGUGAGGUUGUCUAGCACCCUGCGCAGGCCACAGAUGUCAGCCUCCACCAGCUGUUGCAGCGAGCGCUCUCUCUCGUACCUGUAACAGGGAAAGUGCAGGAGUGACAGUUAGAGGGCAGGAAGGGGCACCAGGACAUGACUCCCAGCUCGCAGCUGUAAGUCCACUGGCCUGCCCUUUGCCAUCUAAUUGUGAGUUGGCUUAUCCUGUGUAGUGUGCUCAAAGCCCAGAAAGCAACAGGAUGUUCCCCACUCAGUCAAUACUAAGCACCUGAGAUGAACCAAGGGGAGCAGCUGGUACUGAGGAUACUGUGAUGGACACACAGCCAGCACCUGCCUUUACACACAAUGGCCCAAAAGGGAGGUGGCAAAGUAACCAGGCAUUUGCAACACAGUGCAAUCACUGCAGGCCCCUCUCUACAAGCCCCAUACCCAAAGGGACCCUGGAUUCCCUAUUAGAGUAAAAGCCACAUUGCCAGCAUGAGAGGAAGGAAAUGGCUUUCUUUAGCUCUAGAAGAGUGAGACUUGCACAGUGCCCCGAAGAAAGAUGAUAAAACACAAUGCCCUUCCAGCACCCAGGGUAGACCCUCCUCAGGUGGUGUCAACCCUUUGACUUUCACAUGUUUUCAUCUUAGGCUAUGGAGCAUGAUUUCUGCUAUGAAUUAUCAGCACUCACAAAUUAAUCAAGCUGCAGCACAGAAACAUAUCCUUAUUAAGGCAACAGUUUCACAGGAAAUUGCUUCAAGAAAGGAAAAUUUGGUACAAAAUUUAAGGCCAAGUCCCAGCUCUGCCACUCGGUACCCACAUGGCUUCUGGCAAGUCACACCAGCACCCCAAGCCUCAGGGUCCCCACCUGUGGAGGAGAUUCUAUCCCUGCCCGCCUGCUUCACAAGUUGCUUACCAGGUGGAUGAUGCAUUCUAGCACAUGUUGUAAACUGUUAAUGCUAAACCACUGGAGAGCGGAUAGUUUUUCAGGAUCUUGAGCUUAAUGCCCUUUGUUCUCUUCUGCUAUAACUACUGGGUUGGGGUCUGGGUCAAUGACAUCCGAUGCCACAUGAGACAGAAGCAGCCAACUUGGCAUUGUCCCAUCCCCAUCCAACCCCAACUCUCACUUGGCUCCUUCCCAUCCCUGUCCAACCCCAACUCACUUGGUCCUGAAGUCAUCUGCAGCCAAUUUGGCAUUGUCUAUUUGCACAACCAGCCUAUUGUUCUCCGAUUUGGUGCACAGAAUCUGGGGUAAGAAAGUAGGCUCAGUAAGUGACUUACUGAUCCCAGAGACACCUAUAGCCUCAGGUGAGAGGAAGUUUUAUUGGCUGAAGUUGAACCUACAGCAUCCGCCUGGACAACACAAACUCCCAAACGUGCAAGAGAUGCUUUUGUGGUGUGGGAAGGAAGAUGUGCAAGAGACUUCUUGGAAAAGGAUGAAGACAUAGAGUCAAAGGAACCAGGAGAUGGAAGACAGUAGCAAACUGAACAUAUAACAAAGACUUGCUUUCAUUUUGCCAGAUAUGAUGCUUAGCCCAAUAUAAAUAAGAAGAUCUGGCCGGACGCAGUGGCUCAUGCCUGUAAUCCCCGCACUUUGGGAGACCAAGGCAGAUGGAUCACCUGAGGUGGUGGGCCGGAUUUGGCCGACAGGCAGUAAGCAGAUUCCUGACCCCUGAUCUGGUGCACCGCAAACCUCACCUUCUGCUGGAGCUCCUGGAUGGUGCAGAAGUAGGACUGGUAGUUUCGGCACACGCUGGACUCGUGGCACUUGCUCCUCUCAUGGAGUUUGGUCUCCAGUUCUGCAUUGUCCCACUCCAGCUGGCGCACCUUCUCCAGGCAGCUGCAAAGAUUUCGAGGUGGAAGAGAGCUCACUGAGAGACCGGAAAAAGACUUCAUGGAGUAGGGGAUUUUCCAAAUAUGUUUUGAAUGAUAUUUUUUAUAAAGGGUUGGGGAAUGAGCUUCUCUCAUAGAGAACAAAAUAAACACAAUCAAACAUUUGGAAAAUGGACAACUCUAGCUACCAAGGAGCUUCAAUGACAAUUCCUCCAGCUGAUGGAUUUGGCCAAGAGUCAGAGAGUCUAGCAACAACCUAUGCAUUGACAGUUUAUUUUUGUGAUGACUCAAUUUUACUUCUGAUUGAAAAGCAAAAUCCUCUUAUCUUCUAGAUAUGGGAGAAAGUGACAUAGGUUCUAACCAAUCUAGACUACAGCCCUUCUUUUUCUUUCAAUGCUUAUAUUCUCUUUCCUCCUAUAUAAUGACCAUUUCUAGCAACAGGCUAAUUUAAGGUGUGGAGAGAAAUAUUCUUCUAGUCAAAAACUGUUUUUGAACACCUACAAUAUAGACUGAGUAAUGGGGCGGGCCCUUGGAAAUACAGCAGGAGAGAAGUCACACUGACCCUCCUCAUCCUGACUUACUUGAUCCUAAAGUCAUCAGCAGCCAGCUUCGCGUUGUCAAUUUGUACAAUCAGCCUGGCAUUCUCAGCCUUGCUGCACAGGAUCUGAGGAAAACGGAAAGACGGUUCACACACAAAGCACCAUACUCUAAGCUCCCACUCCAUGUGUGGUAUUUACGCUCAUGUCCAAGAGAAACCAAGAACCCAAAGCUCUCUGGACCUUAUGCAGAUUCCUCCUGCGAAGGCUUCUGCCUUCUCAGACCCAGCAUGCCCAGGCGAUCCCACACCUCACCUUCUGCUGGAGCUCCUCGAUUGUACGGAAGUAGGACUGGUAGUCGGGGCACACGGUGGACUCGUGGCACUUGCUCCUCUCGAGGAGUGUGGUCUCCAGCUCUGCAUUCUCCUGCUCCAGCUGGCGCACCUUCUCCAGGUAGUUGGCCAGGCGGUCAUUCAGGAACUUCAUGGUCUCCUUCUCAUGGCCAUUCAGGGUGUUUUUGCCGUAGGCCCCACAGAUUCCGAUGUUGCCGGGAAUGUGACAGGUCCCUGGCAAGGGACAAGCAGUGUGACUGGUUGGGGGCAGACAGAGGCUGGGGCGGCCCAGGGGAGUCGACCCCACACGGACUCUGUUGGCGUGUGCCACGUUGGCCAAGAGGCACAUGGAGGCAGCAUUGGCCUCUGCCACAGGCUGGCACCCAACAUCGAUAGGAGAGACAAAGACAUUUCUUGCUCCAGGAGCCAUGGUGCAACCCAGAGGGCAUGAGGAGGUGCUGUAGAAGGAGGUCAUGGUGUAGGGCUGAGGCUGCACAGGAGCUUCAGAUCAGCUGGGAAGGCUGAGCCACUGAGACUGAAGCCUCCUCUCCUCCCAACCCUUUUAUACCCCAUCCUGGGCGGGUGUUGGCUCCAGUGCUUUGACCUCCUGCCUUGAUUAUCUACCUGUUGUGGUGCCAUCAUCCUGUUACUCAGCUGCUGAGUUUACCAUGAGAAGUUCCUCAGCUCAUUAAAGCAAUGUUGACAAAUCUGAGAUGCCUCUUGGCUCUUCCAUAUCAGGUUAGCUGUUGGUGGGAAGUCAGAGACUCACUGUUUCUGCUCAACAAACACCAGCAGUUGAUUCAGGCCCCAAUUGCUCUCUCUGGACUAUGGUCUCUGUGGAUGUGGUCACAAUGAAGGCUCAAAUCUUUCCGUCAGUAAUUUGUGUAGCAGGAGACACAGAGAACCAAUGGGACCCACUGGAUCUUUCGCCUGUGCAAGACUGAAUCAGCCUUUCCUUUGAAGAGAAAAUAUCAGUUAAUAAAACCAAUGCAUCUACUGAUA